GUCACGAUGGCCGAGUGGUUAAGGCGUUGGACUCGAAAUCCAAUGGGAUUUUCCCGCGCAGGUUCGAAUCCUGCUCGUGACG
Biomphalaria glabrata is the source of this 82-nucleotide non-coding RNA. NCBI's taxonomy places the organism in Eukaryota, Metazoa, Mollusca, Gastropoda, Planorbidae. The record is from Rfam.